This 253-nucleotide ribosomal RNA is filed under the name uncultured bacterium. RNAcentral's name for it is "partial 16S ribosomal RNA". It matches the Rfam family "Bacterial small subunit ribosomal RNA", at positions 524 to 776 of the family's 1533-position model. The record is from RNAcentral.
GACGAACCGUACGAACGUUAUUCGGAAUUACUGGGCUUAAAGGGUGCGUAGGCGGCGCAGUAAGUUGGGUGUGAAAUCCCUCGGCUUAACCGAGGAAUUGCGCCCAAAACUACUGUGCUCGAGGGAGAUAGAGGUGAGCGGAACUUAGGGUGGAGCGGUGAAAUGCGUUGAUAUCCUAAGGAACACCAGUGGCGAAGGCGGCUCACUGGCCCGGUACUGACGCUGAGGUGCGAAAGCGUGGGGAGCAAACAGG